UAUAAAUAUUUUAUAUAUAUGUCAUGGUACAAUAUAAGGUACAUGAAAGAAACACAAUAAAAAUAUAUAAUAUAAAAAGAGAGUACAUACAUAUAUAUAUAUAUAUAACGUAAUAUAUUAUGAAACGUUUAUAUAUAUAUAUAUAUAUAUGUAUAUAUUACAUAUAUUAUAUAUAUUAUAUAUAAUAUAAUAACGUGAUCCAACAACCAGGCCGUUCGAAUUAACACACCAUUGAAUUUAUUAAACCAGAUAUUUUUUGAUCGUCGAAGUUAUUGUCAGAUUCUAUUGAACGUGCGUCUAUGCGAGGAAAAAAUUCGCAUGGAUGCACGUAUCUCUCUUUAUGCCUAAAUGUCAUAAAAAUAAUGCUACAGUCUUUAACUGUGAUGAUAUCACGACCAUAUUAUAAACGAUAUGAUUAUAAUGUUGAAAUAAAACUUUCAUUGUGGAAGGUAAUAGUCGAUAAAAAUAUAUUAAUAUAUCGACGAAUAAUAGAGUAUUAAAUAACAGCUCCUUGGAGUAAUUUCUUCGGACUGAAUGCGUAAUAAUAAUAAAAAUACUUAUAUAUAUAUAUAUACCACUUUGCGAAAAUCGUUCAUCUUUUUCAGAAAACUUUAUCUCUUGGUCCAAAGUGGGUGAACAAAUCGUGAGCCAAAUAUCACUGUAAAUAGCUUUAAAAUCGGAGCCUAGCAUAACGAAAAUCACAAAUACCACAUCGUUGUUUUCAUUAUAAUAUAACGUUAUUUAAAUAUAAGUUGUUAUACUAAUUUAUACGUACAUAUAUGCGUACUUCUGUGUAAAAUUCGGAUUGUACCUUAAUUAUGUAUGUACGUACUAAAACGACACAUAUACGUACGUAUAUGUAUAACGAAAAUGAUAAUGAAAAUGAAAAAAAGAAAAAGAAACAAAAACAAAAAUAAAUAAAUAAAUAAAUAUAUAUAUAUAUAUCUAUAAAGACAAAAUAAAGAGAUUAAUAGUCAAAUAUUGUAAAUCGUUUAUUAUCAUCGACGUUAUGAAAUAAUAUCUAUGGUAACAAAUUAUUAUAUAUGAUGUCCUUCGAUAUUAUGAUCAUCGAAAUGAUUUUCAUAAUGUUCAUCGUAAUAUGGAUGAGGUUCUGUCUCUAUAUCGUGAUAGGACGAUGAUAAGAUUCCAUUAAAAGUUGAUAUUUCUAAAAGAAAUUUUAUAUGAAAGCACUAUUACUCACCCGCAUUUGAUUCACCAACGUGUCCCAAUUCAUUAGAGUGUUCUAAAAUUGGCACGAUAUCGCUGUCAUGAUGUACUGUCAAAUCCAAAUCACUCACUCCGUUCACGUAAUUCGAUGAAAGAGGCAGAUCUUCGUAAUUAUCAACGUGUACGUUUUGAUAGCUGGUUGCACCGUGCCCGUGAUAAAUCGUUCGUAAAUUCGGAAAAUGUUCGUACUCUAAUUGACGUGGUAUUCUCGCAGCAUCGCACAUGGCUAUUGCCAUGAUAUACAACUGAAUGGAACAGAGCAAGAAAAAAAAAAAAGAGAAAAAAAAAAGCAUUGAAAAAUUAACACGUCAAUGUCUUCAGUGAUAGAUCGAAUCUUUUUUACUCGUUUUCCGAAUGAAAGAAAAAAAAAAAAUAAGAAGAAGAAGAACAAGGAAACAAGGAGAUUCUUUUUACGAAAAAAGAAGAAGAAGAAAAAAAAAAAAUUAAGACAAACUCACGAAGUAUUUCAUAGCUUAUUUACUUGUUGAACAGUCUCGCCUAUUUCUACUGUGGUAUAUCUGAAGAAGCAACGUUAGUUUUAUACUCGGUUUCCCCGAAAGAAAUGUUGAAAUAUCUGAUGCGAAUAUCCAUGCUAAAGUACGAGCGGAUGUUUAUAAUCAGCAAUAAACUCCAUGGCGUAUCUUCUCUAGGACAGGAUACAUCAGAUUCAUGGUCUCGAGGUGUAUACGUGGGUAUGGGAAGGUUGAGAUUUGGUCUAGAGAGCUAGUAAACAACAUGUAAGUACGAUGUAUGGUUUCUAAACGGAGAUUGAACCUCAGUUGCCGAAGGCAUUGUGCAAUUGGCUACGUAGCGUUACGAAUGUAUGACGAAACGACGCUGUGGAUUCUUUGAAAUCUCUUGGAAACCGUACACGUAAUUAGUUUUCUAUCGUAUCAUUGAUUUCCUAGGAGUAUAGAUAAUAAUCACGUCAAACUUAAAAAUAUUCUUUAAACGGUUUCCACGGUUUUACGUGAUUUUCAUUUCUAAAGGAUUUUAUUUAUUUCCUACAUUCACAGUUAGGUUGUUCGAAUGAGAAAGGAUAGUUGAGUUAUGUACUAGUUAUGUACACGGUUACUCUCGUCUAUUUAAGAAAAAAAAAAAAACAAAUAAAAAAAAAAAGAAAAAAAAAAGAAAUAAAUAACCCCAGUGAUUUCAUAAGAGGGAUACUUACAAAAUUUGGUGAGAUCUAAAAGACUAGAGGAAAUUCGAAGAAGAAUAAUAGACCAUUUUAAAGCACGAGCGUGGGAUAUGAUAAAACUUACUAUUGUCGUAAUUACGUAAGACAGAUUAUUUAUUGGUAGAGAGUGUAGACAUUACAAAAGUGCAUUUUUACUAAAUUACGAUCAAGAAAGGUGGCUCAUUAUGGCAGUUAAUUGUAGCUCGAUUGUUUUGAUCUAUUUCCAUUAGGAAAUAGCUCAUUGUUUCUUGUGAGCUAAAUUGUCUCUCUUACUUCAUGAUGGUCAAGAGAAUCGAUGGUGAUUAAAUUAGGUUUUUUUCUCGGCUUCAUGUGAUCCUUAUGAUUUCAGUCGCACAUAGGUUUCGCUAUUUUGACAAUAGCUGGAGGUGGAUGAACUGGAGCAGGUGGAAGAUAGACGGGUUGAUGUACUAUUGGAGACGGUUGAGCAAUUUUCACGUAUGAUACUGGAGCUGCCUGUAUGUGAACAACUUUAGGUUGCGGUGGUGGAAUGUAGGAAAUAGGUUGUGGGGCUGGUUUUUGAUAUACAUAGCCUGAAAUAGCUGGUUUUUGAUAAACAUAGCCUGAAAUAGCUGGUUUUUGAUAGACAAUUCCUGGUUUUUGAUAAAUCACCUGCGUUUGUACAGCAGGAACUUCGUAUUUUUUAAAAUAAAUUUUCGGCGCCUCAUACAUUGGCUUUUGAUAAGCCGGGGCAUAAGAAUACAUUGGCUUUUGAUAAAUCACUUUAGCCGGUGUAUAAGAUGGCACCCAUGGUUUGACGACAGAUUGAAUCGGAUGGACCGAAUACGAUGGUGCAUGAACGGGUUGAUAACUUAUUACCUGCGGUUUCACGUAAGUCACCGAUUGUUUUGGAAUAAUUGUAUAACUCGGUUGAUGACUUGAUAUAUAUUGUAUAUGAGGUGGUGAUUGAUGGACUGUCACUUCCUUUUUCGGAUAACUGGGCUGUUCAUAAGCUUUUACAAGAACAGCUGGUUGAUGAUAUGCGGGAAGGUGGUACUGCGGUGGACAAGGGUCUUGAACGUAGCCCCUUUUCAAUUUGGACAAUGAAGAAUCCAUUGUACCGGAAUCCAUCAUGUCCAUAUGAACGCUGUGCGAACGAACGCUCGCCAGCCAUAACAGGCAUGGUAUCUAAAGAUUAGAAAGGAAUAUAUACUAAUGGAAAGAUAAAAGAAAAAAAGAAAAAACGAUGUUUUUACUUCGGAUAUCGUUUUCUAUAUAAAUAUGAAACAUAUAACGAGCAGUCAGAGCGAGCAGGGUGACAAGAUUUCUCUUUAAAAAAGAAGAAAAAAAAGAAAAAAACCAAAGGAAAAAAAAAUAAGAGUCCAGGCUAAUAAAAAUAUGCAGAAGCGUGCGAAGUUUCCCUCGUGCCAAAGUAGAUUAUAUCGUUGAGUUAGAGAAAAGCGUCAAGGAGAAAAGCGUUUCGCUGAUGCGUAUCGCUUACCAGUAACCUCAGCAUGAUUAACUUUGUCUUCCUUUUAUUAUCUUGAAAUAGUUAGUAUAAGAUGACCGAUAGAAUGAAUGUUCUGAACGAAACUAAAAGCGCGUCGUUGGUACUUGCCGGUUUUAUAAACUUUUCCUCGGCUUAGGCGGCAUAAGUAACUUGUUGACCGAAGUCGAUUGAGAUUCCCUUAAGCGGUGUAAAAAGCAGCCGUUGUGCGUUCAAGCCCUGUAAUGAUGCAAUUGCUCGCGCCCCGGUAUUUCCUGAAUAAAUUCUGCGGCUCUUGUAAGAACCUAUGUAUGUAUAUAUAUAUAUAUAUAUAUAUAUAUAUAUAUAUAUAUAUAUAUAUAUGUACAUACAUACAUAGAUAUCUUGGGCACGGCCGAGUAGUUGACGUUUUAUACCGGUGACGGGGUUUACGACACAUGGACAAAAUCAUUUGAAAUAGGCGUGCACAGAUAGAAGUCGAAGAUCGCUCGAGGUAUAGCCCGAAGGUAACGAUCACAACGAUAACGCGAUGGUUAGAACGACGUAUCCGCAUUUUCGAAUAAAAGCUAAGGAUCUUUUUCUGUCGGACGAUUUUUCUUUUCUUUUCUCUCUCUCUCUCUCUCUCUCUCUCUCUUUCUUUCGUUUUAUCCUUAGGAUACAGAAUUUUAUAAUACUCUUUGCCUCAGGCCUAUUGAGCUAAUAAAUUACGAAGUGAUCAAUGACGUUUGUCUUUACAAUAGCCGUGAGUUAUAGCCACGUUAUGAAACGGUUAUAAAAGCUGUGUUUAAAUAAAAAAAAAAAAAAAAAAAAAUACAAGAAAAAAGAAAAUAAAUAAAAAGAAAGAAAGAAAGAAAGAAAUAGAAAAAAUAAAGAAACAAUCGCCAUGUCCAGGUUGAAUUAAUGAUUUAUCUCUCGAGAAAGAUGCUCGCCGCGGUGGUUCUUUUGUUUUCGAUCUUAUAGUAAACGGGGUCAGUCCGUACCUUACAAGUAAAUGAUUCUUGAAUUAAAAAAGGUAAUGUUGCAGCGGUAGAAUGCAGUUCGCUAAACGUCUUGGUAUAACCACAAUUAAGUCUCGUACUUUCGAAUCCUUUCGGUCUACCCAAGCGAUUUGGCUUAAACGGUCAUGUCACCCGAGGGAGGAAAGUAAUCACCUAACGACCCGUACAAAUGGACAAUUUUUAUUUAACAAAAAAACAACGAUACAUUAUAUAGAUAACAUUAUUUACAAAAUGUGUAAACUUAACUAAAUUUUAAAUUAUAAGUUACUCGAGUAA
Long non-coding RNA from Vespa velutina, 5122 nucleotides. RefSeq lists it as uncharacterized. The transcript has 2 exons. The record is from RefSeq and is a predicted model, not a curated record. Lineage: Eukaryota; Metazoa; Arthropoda; Insecta; Hymenoptera; Vespidae.